Molecule: small nuclear RNA, 96 nt
Filed under: Rhodnius prolixus
Lineage: Eukaryota; Metazoa; Arthropoda; Insecta; Hemiptera; Reduviidae
Source: RNAcentral
GUACUCGUUUCGGCGGUACAUAUACUAAAUUUGGAAGAGUAGCCAUGGCCCCUGCGCAAGGAUGGCACGCAAAAUCGUGAAGCGUUCCAUAUUUUU